RNAcentral lists this ribosomal RNA (468 nucleotides) under uncultured bacterium. RNAcentral describes it as "partial 16S ribosomal RNA". It matches the Rfam family "Bacterial small subunit ribosomal RNA", at positions 28 to 507 of the family's 1533-position model. The record is from RNAcentral.
GACGAACGCUGGCGGCGUGCUUAACACAUGCAAGUCGAACGGAAAGGCCAUGCUCUUGUGGGGUGCACGAGUGGCGAACGGGUGAGUAACACGCGAGUAAACUGCACUUGUAUUUGGGAUAACUUCUGGAAAAUGGGGCUAAUAUCGGAUAGGAGCUCCUGCAGCAUGGUGGGGGUUGGAAAGUUUCGGCGGUUGGGGAUGGAUUCGCGGCUUAUCAGCUUGUUGGUGGGGUAGUGGCGUACCAAGGCUUUGACGGGUAGCCGGCCUGGGAGGGUGACCAGCCACAAUGGGACUAAGAUACGGCCCAGACGCCUACGGGAGGCAGCAGUGGGGAACAUUGCGCAAUGGGCGGAAGCCUGAUACAGCGACGCCGCGUGCGUAAUGACGGGCUUCGAGUUAUAAACCGCUGUCGCCUGUGACGAAGCGUUAGUGACGGUAAUGAGUAAAGAAGCACCGGCUAACUACGUG